This 480-nucleotide ribosomal RNA is filed under the name uncultured bacterium. Its description in RNAcentral is "partial 16S ribosomal RNA". It matches the Rfam family "Bacterial small subunit ribosomal RNA", at positions 28 to 507 of the family's 1533-position model. The record is from RNAcentral.
GAUGAACGCUAGCGGCAGGCCUAACACAUGCAAGUCGAGGGGUAGAAGGAGCUUGCUCCUUUGAGACCGGCGCACGGGUGCGUAACGCGUAUGCAAUCUACCUUGUACAGGGGAAUAGCCCAGAGAAAUUUGGAUUAAUGCCCCAUAGUAUAUAACCUUCGCAUGUUGGUUAUAUUAAAGUUCCAACGGUACAAGAUGAGCAUGCGUCCCAUUAGUUAGUUGGUAAGGUAACGGCUUACCAAGACGAUGAUGGGUAGGGGUCCUGAGAGGGAGAUCCCCCACACUGGUACUGAGACACGGACCAGACUCCUACGGGAGGCAGCAGUGAGGAAUAUUGGUCAAUGGUCGCAAGACUGAACCAGCCAUGCCGCGUGCAGGAAGACGGUCCUAUGGAUUGUAAACUGCUUUUAUACAGGAAGAAACCCUCCCACGUGUGGGAGCUUGACGGUACUGUAGGAAUAAGGAUCGACUAACUCCGUG